GCCUGAUCAGCCAUACCGCGUGGGUGAGAAGGCCUUCGGGUUGUAAAGCCCUUUUGUUGGGAAAGAAAUCCAGCCGGCUAAUACCUGGUUGGGAUGACGGUACCCAAAGAAUAAGCACCGGCUAACUUCGUGCCAGCAGCCGCGGUAAUACGAAGGGUGCAAGCGUUACUCGGAAUUACUGGGCGUAAAGCGUGCGUAGGUGGUCGUUUAAGUCCGUUGUGAAAGCCCUGGGCUCAACCUGGGAACUGCAGUGGAUACUGGACGACUAGAGUGUGGUAGAGGGUAGCGGAAUUCCUGGUGUAGCAGUGAAAUGCGUAGAGAUCAGGAGGAACAUCCAUGGCGAAGGCAGCUACCUGGACCAACACUGACACUGAGGCACGAAAGCGUGGGGAGCAAACAGGAUUAGAUACCCUGGUAGUCCACGCCCUAAACGAUGCGAACUGGAUGUUGGGUGCAAUUUGGCACGCAGUAUCGAAGCUAACGCGUUAAGUUCGCCGCCUGGGGAGUACGGUCGCAAGACUGAAACUCAAAGGA
RNAcentral lists this ribosomal RNA (534 nucleotides) under uncultured bacterium. Its description in RNAcentral is "bacterial SSU rRNA". It matches the Rfam family "Bacterial small subunit ribosomal RNA", at positions 381 to 908 of the family's 1533-position model. The record is from RNAcentral.